UAUCUCUGUAGAGUCUGCAUAUCAAUAAGCGGAGGAAAAGAAACUAACUAGGAUUCCCUCAGUAACGGCGAGUGAAGCGGGAAGAGCUCAAAUUUGAAAUCUUCAAGGUUCUACCUUGACGAAUUGUAGUUUAAAGAAGUGUUUUCUGUUGGAGUUUUGGUAAAAGUUCUUUGGAAUAGGACAUCAUAGAGGGUGAGAAUCCCGUAUUUGACCAUUAUUUCCAGCUUUGUGAUACACUUUCAAAGAGUCGGAUUGUUUGGGAAUGCAGUCCAAAAUGGGUGGUAAAUUUCAUCUAAAGCUAAAUAUUGGCGAGAGACCGAUAGCGAACAAGUACCGUGAGGGAAAGAUGAAAAGAACUUUGAAAAGAGAGUUAAACAGUACGUGAAAUUGUCAAAAGGGAAGCGUUUGACACCAGUGUUGUUUUCUCGAAAAUCAAUUAAAAAAGGCAGGAUUUUGUGUUGUAUUGACUUUAUCAGCUUUCUGCACUCUUUUCUUGUCUUUUUUUAAUGCACUUUUCGUUUAACAAGUCAACAUCAAUUUCUUUUGUUGUAAAAGGGUCAUUGGAAGGUGGCUUUCUUUUCGGAGAAAGUGUUUAUAGCCUUUGGCCUCUGCAAUCGGAGAGAUUGAGGUCUGCAGCGUAGAUCCUUCGGGGUUAGAUACAUUUGUGCUAAGUUAUAGCCUUUUCAUAGACAACUUGUUGACUAUGAAUCAGUCAUGUAGCUUACUCGCUUAUGCUAUUUUACCUACGCUUAGGAUGUUGAUAGUCACAGCGUGUAC
RNAcentral lists this ribosomal RNA (777 nucleotides) under uncultured Neocallimastigales. RNAcentral's name for it is "partial large subunit ribosomal RNA". It matches the Rfam family "Eukaryotic large subunit ribosomal RNA", at positions 24 to 629 of the family's 3401-position model. Lineage: Eukaryota; Fungi; Neocallimastigomycota; Neocallimastigomycetes; Neocallimastigales. The record is from RNAcentral.